This 426-nucleotide ribosomal RNA is filed under the name uncultured bacterium. Its description in RNAcentral is "bacterial SSU rRNA". It matches the Rfam family "Bacterial small subunit ribosomal RNA", at positions 354 to 796 of the family's 1533-position model. The record is from RNAcentral.
GUGAGGAAUUUUCCGCAAUGGGCGAAAGCCUGACGGAGCAAUGCCGCGCGAAGGAUGAAGGCCUAUGGGUUGUAAACUUCUUUUCUCAGAAAAGAAUUAUGACGGUAUCUGAGGAAUAAGCAUCGGCUAACUCUGUGCCAGCAGCCGCGGUAAGACAGAGGAUGCAAGCGUUAUCCGGAAUGAUUGGGCGUAAAGCGUCUGUAGGUUGUUUAAAAAGUAUUCUGUCAAAGAUUAGGGCUUAACCCUAGAUAGGCAGAAUAAACUUUUAAGCUAGAGUUUGGUAGAGGCAGAGGGAAUUCCCGGUGGAGCGGUGAAAUGCGUAGAUAUCGGGAGGAACACCAAAGGCGAAGGCACUCUGCUGGGCCAAUACUAACACUGAGAGACGAAAGCGAGGGGAGCAAAUGGGAUUAGAAACCCUGGUAGUCC